UUUCGCCUACGGGGCGCAGCAGUGAGGAAUAUUGGUCAAUGGGCGGAAGCCUGAACCAGCCACGUCGCGUGAGGGAAUAAGGCCCUACGGGUCGUAAACCUCUUUUGCCGGGGAGCAAGGGCCGGGACGAGUCCCGGUCCGGAGAGUACCCGGAGAAAAAGCAUCGGCUAACUCCGUGCCAGCAGCCGCGGUAAUACGGAGGAUGCGGGCGUUAUCCGGAUUUAUUGGGUUUAAAGGGUGCGUAGGCGGGCUUUUACGUCAGCGGUAAAAAUUCGGGGCUCAACCCCGUCCGGCCGUUGAAACUG
This 305-nucleotide ribosomal RNA is filed under the name uncultured bacterium. Its description in RNAcentral is "bacterial SSU rRNA". It matches the Rfam family "Bacterial small subunit ribosomal RNA", at positions 333 to 635 of the family's 1533-position model. The record is from RNAcentral.